This 70-nucleotide transfer RNA is filed under the name Neophocaena phocaenoides (Indo-Pacific finless porpoise). RNAcentral's name for it is "tRNA-Phe". It matches the Rfam family "tRNA". From Rfam's summary of the family: Transfer RNA (tRNA) molecules are approximately 80 nucleotides in length. Their secondary structure includes four short double-helical elements and three loops (D, anti-codon, and T loops). Lineage: Eukaryota; Metazoa; Chordata; Mammalia; Artiodactyla; Phocoenidae. RNAcentral also lists the same sequence under 3 other names. The record is from RNAcentral.
GUUAAUGUAGCUUAAAUUUUCAAAAGCAAGACACUGAAAAUGUCUAGAUGGGCCUAUCGCCCCAUCAACA